AAAUCUGAUCAUACGGUUAAUAUGUUAAUUUUAUGAAAAAGAAAAAGAAAAAAAAAACGAAAAAAAAAUACACGAAAAGGACAGAAUAAAAAAUUAAAUGGAUCAAAAUCUUUUGACUUUUAUUCGGAGAAUGGAAUUCCUCGCGCGUGCGUUUGUGUACACGACUAUUAAGUGCUUACAUUUAUGCCUGUCAUAAUUGGCUUUGUUAAAUGAAGAGAGUGUCCGAGGAAUUAGCUUGUGAGUAAUAGCACGGCUAUUUAUUAACACGCGAAACGAGGUGCCACGAGCAAGACGAGAACGAAAACCAUGUGCUUCGUGUUUUCUGUUCGAAGGGCUGCUAUUUUUCCUUUGGAUAUGACGAGACUUUUCCAAUAAACACUUUGUAACACUUGCUGCUAUUUUUCUUUUGGAUAUGACGAGACAUUUUUCAAUAAACACAUUGUGACACAUGCUCGAUGGGGAGAUGUCGAGGUUGAGCUGGCACCGAGACUGGUCGGACCUUUUGUAGAGCCGAAAUAUAAAGCUAAUCUCUCCGCGGUAUUCCAUUCCCGCGAGCAUGGAAUGCAGGACUAAAAUGGUGAACCACCGACCACCCGACGAAGUAUUUCAUCGCAGAGAAGGAAGACUAAGACGAAGACGAAGACGAAGACGAAGAAGAAGAAGAAGACGAAGAAGAAGAAGACGAAGAAGAAGAAGAAGAAGAAGAAGAAGAAGAAGAAUAAGCAGAAGAAAGAGGAGGUGGAAGAGGAAGAGAAAGAUUGGUAGUGAGAGAGGGAGAAAGAGAAAGAGAGAGAGAGAGAGAGAGAGAGAGAGAUAGGACGGAGGUAGAUUUACUAUCAGAGGGAUUUCAUUCCUCCGGGGGUUUAGGCUUUCCAAGCAAUCCCAUUACCAGAGCCAAAUGUGAUUUAGGAUCUUGGCCUUAUAGCGUACACUGGCUUAACCAUGCGGGGACUCCUUCGCAUCUUGGGCACCAUGGGCGUUUCAUAUCUCUCCUUGGGAGAGUCCUCCGAGUAGCCCUCCAACAUUACCAUGGCCGUUCAACUUAAGAUCCUAUCUCGAUGGCGGAAAGAAAGAACGAUCGAAUGCAAAUGUCCGAUGUUCGACCGAAAGAUGGCCGUGUAGAUCGAGACUCCACACUAUCCACAGGUUAACCACCAAUCAUCUUUUUUUCCUCUCAUUUAUCUUGAUUCUUCAUGUUUCUAUUAGAAACUCGUUUGCUUUUUUUUUCUUCCUUUUUUCUUGAAUUUUUUUUCUUUUUUUUUCCCCUCUUUUUCUUGCUUUUUUUUUCAUUCUCUCUCUCUCUCUCUCUCUCUCGCGCGCGCGCACAACGGAAUUUUUAGUAACAGGCAGAUAAUUUUUUUUUUUUUUUUAUUUAUAUUGCGUCCAACAGUAUGAUCAUGUUUCGUACAGACAGUAUCUUUUUUUCCUUUCAUCAUCUUUUUUCUUUCUUUUCUUUUGGUUUUUUUUUUUAUAUAACGCAUGACAGAUAAUUAUAUUAAUGUUAACAAAAAAAAAAAAAAAAGAAAA
Molecule: long non-coding RNA, 1527 nt
Organism: Vespa mandarinia (Asian giant hornet)
Lineage: Eukaryota; Metazoa; Arthropoda; Insecta; Hymenoptera; Vespidae
Source: RefSeq, a predicted model, not a curated record